AAAAAAAAACAAAGGGUAAGCUGACAGGAACAGGACCAAAAAGUUGCGUCAUUCGUAUUUGGUCUGCUCUACUGUUCGGAACGUACUAUUCUAGUGAAUAUCUGUGCAUAAUAGGAUGAAAGGCCUGCCUGGGGGUGGAGCUAAAAGUUCAAAUGGCUGUCUGAAAAAAAAAAAUCACAUUAAAAGCCACCAGAAAGGGUACAACGAUGGGGCCGGUUCACGGAUUACUUUAUAUCCUUGUAAUCUCAUCCUACUUCAUCGUCGGUCGUGGCCAAAAAAUUGUGUGCACACAGGAAGCCAAGGCAGAUUAGUGUUUUUAGUGGAUGGCUCGGCCAGCAUCGGUCUAAAGAACUUCCA
This is a long non-coding RNA of Ictalurus punctatus (channel catfish), 357 nucleotides long. NCBI's taxonomy places the organism in Eukaryota, Metazoa, Chordata, Actinopteri, Siluriformes, Ictaluridae. The record is from Ensembl.